GAAUCAACGCUGGCGGCGUGCCUAACACAUGCAAGUCGAACGAGAAAGGGACUUCGGUCCUGAGUAUAGUUGCGCACGGGUGAGUAACACGUGAAUAAUCUACCUCCGAGUGGGGAAUAACUGAGAGAAAUCUUAGCUAAUACCGCAUAACACUUACGAGUCAAAGCAGCAAUGCGCUUGGAGAGGAGUUCGCGGCCGAUUAGUUAGUUGGCGGGGUAAUGGCCCACCAAGACGAUGAUCGGUAUCCGGCCUGAGAGGGCGCACGGACACACUGGAACUGAAACACGGUCCAGACUCCUACGGGAGGCAGCAGUGGGGAAUUUUGCGCAAUGGGGGAAACCCUGACGCAGCAACGCCGCGUGGAGGAUGAAGUAUCUUGGUACGUAAACUCCUUUCGAUGGGGAAGAUAAUGACGGUACCCAUAGAAGAAGCCCCGGCUAACUUCGUGCCAGCAGCCGCGGUAAUACGAGGGGGGCAAGCGUUGUUCGGAUUUAUUGGGCGUAAAGGGUGCGUAGGCGGUUUGGCAAGUCUCAUGUGAAAUCUUCGGGCUCAACCCGAAGCCUGCAUGAGAAACUACCGGGCUUGAGUAUGGGAGAGGUGAGUGGAAUUUCCGGUGUAGCGGUGAAAUGCGUAGGUAUCGGAAGGAACACCUGUGGCGAAAGCGGCUCACUGGACCAUAACUGACGCUGAAGCACGAAAGCUAGGGGAGCAAACAGGAUUAGAUACCCUGGUAGUCCUAGCCCUAAACGAUGAUUGCUUGGUGUGGCAGGUACCCAAUCCUGCCGUGCCGAAGCUAACGCGAUAAGCAAUCCGCCUGGGGAGUACGGUCGCAAGGCUGA
Molecule: ribosomal RNA, 839 nt
Filed under: uncultured bacterium
Lineage: Bacteria
Description: bacterial SSU rRNA
Rfam family: Bacterial small subunit ribosomal RNA
Source: RNAcentral